Molecule: ribosomal RNA, 447 nt
Filed under: uncultured Geobacillus sp.
Lineage: Bacteria; Bacillati; Bacillota; Bacilli; Caryophanales; Anoxybacillaceae
Description: bacterial SSU rRNA
Rfam family: Bacterial small subunit ribosomal RNA
Source: RNAcentral
AGCAUGUGGUUUAAUUCGAAGCAACGCGAAGAACCUUACCAGGUCUUGACAUCCCCUGACAACCCGAGAGAUCGGGCGUUCCCCUUCGGGGGGACAGGGUGACAGGUGGUGCAUGGUUGUCGUCAGCUCGUGUCGUGAGAUGUUGGGUUAAGUCCCGCAACGAGCGCAACCCUCGACCUUAGUUGCCAGCAUUCAGUUGGGCACUCUAAGGUGACUGCCGGCUAAAAGUCGGAGGAAGGUGGGAUGACGUCAAAUCAUCAUGCCCCUUAUGUUCUGGGCUACACACGUGCUACAAUGGCCGGUACAGACGGAGGCGAAGCCGCGAGGCGGAGCAAAUCCGAAAAAGCCGGUCUCAGUUCGGAUUGCAGGCUGCAAUUCGCCUGCAUGAAGUCGGAAUCGCUAGUAAUCGCAGGUCAGCAUACUGCGGUGAAUACGUUCCCGGGCCUU